GCUGGCGUAGCUCAGUUGGUAGAGCACUCGAUUCGUAAUCGAGCGGUCGGGAGUUCGAGUCUCCCCGCCAGCACCA
RNAcentral lists this transfer RNA (76 nucleotides) under Acetobacteraceae bacterium. RNAcentral's name for it is "tRNA-Thr". It matches the Rfam family "tRNA". Rfam says of the family: Transfer RNA (tRNA) molecules are approximately 80 nucleotides in length. Their secondary structure includes four short double-helical elements and three loops (D, anti-codon, and T loops). Further hydrogen bonds mediate the characteristic L-shaped molecular structure. tRNAs have two regions of fundamental functional importance: the anti-codon, which is responsible for specific mRNA codon recognition, and the 3' end, to which the tRNAs corresponding amino acid is attached (by aminoacyl-tRNA synthetases). tRNAs cope with the degeneracy of the genetic code in two manners: having more than one tRNA (with a specific anti-codon) for a particular amino acid; and 'wobble' base-pairing, i.e. permitting non-standard base-pairing at the 3rd anti-codon position. Lineage: Bacteria; Pseudomonadati; Pseudomonadota; Alphaproteobacteria; Acetobacterales; Acetobacteraceae. The record is from RNAcentral.